RNAcentral lists this transfer RNA (77 nucleotides) under Acidobacteriota bacterium. Its description in RNAcentral is "Acidobacteria bacterium (marine metagenome) tRNA-Pro". It matches the Rfam family "tRNA". Rfam says of the family: Transfer RNA (tRNA) molecules are approximately 80 nucleotides in length. Their secondary structure includes four short double-helical elements and three loops (D, anti-codon, and T loops). The record is from RNAcentral. Lineage: Bacteria; Pseudomonadati; Acidobacteriota. RNAcentral also lists the same sequence under 2 other names.
CGGGGCGUGGCGUAGCUUGGUAUCGCGCCUGCUUUGGGAGCAGGAGGUCCCCGGUUCAAAUCCGGGCGCCCCGACCA